UACGGAAGGCAGCAGUGGGGAAUAUUGCACAAUGGGCGCAAGCCUGAUGCAGCCAUGCCGCGUGUAUGAAGAAGGCCUUCGGGUUGUAAAGUACUUUCAGUCGUGAGGAAGGUGUUAAGGUUAAUAACCUUAGCAAUUGACGUUAGCGACAGAAGAAGCACCGGCUAACUCCGUGCCAGCAGUCGCGGUAAUACGGAGGGUGCGAGCGUUAAUCGGAAUUACUGGGCGUAAAGGGCACGCAGGCGGUUAAUUAAGUUGGAUGUGAAAUCCCCGGGCUUAACCUGGGAAUGGCAUUCAAGACUGGUUAGCUAGAGUCUUGUAGAGGGGGUAGAAUUCCAUGUGUAGCGGUGAAAUGCGUAGAGAUGUGGAGGAAUACCGGGUGGCGAAGGCGGCCCCUGGGACAAAGACUGACGCUCAUGUGCGAAAGCGUGGGGAGCAAACAGGGAUUAGAUACC
This 455-nucleotide ribosomal RNA is filed under the name uncultured bacterium. Its description in RNAcentral is "bacterial SSU rRNA". It matches the Rfam family "Bacterial small subunit ribosomal RNA", at positions 340 to 786 of the family's 1533-position model. The record is from RNAcentral.